AUCAAAAUGCACAAUUCUAUCAUUCAUAACGUACCAAAUAAAUGAUGCAAAGUUUCCACAAAUCCGCAUAUAUAUAUGAACGAAACACCGCAGUAACUUGAAUUGACGUCGUGCAAGAGCGAGUCGAUAACAAGCACUUGCGCGAGUACGAUCGACAACUUUUAGUUUCUGCUGUUUUCAUAACGCAAUAAAAUGGUCUUGGUUUCAUCAGAAAAAAUUACUUUUGUCUCAAGAUAAGUAAAGUGAUAGCACGUAUUUUGAUAUCUACAAAUAAGAAAUAAAUAAAAAUAAAGCCGACGACAGCAAAAUCUAUUUAUAGUAAUCGGGUAUUUCCUAGAUGAUCACUUUCGGUUUCUAAAUGGUGAGACAGACAUGUGCCUGGUGUCGAUUGAUUUCGCGGACCUCACAUAUUACCGAUACAAGUCGUCACCAAAAUAAUAUACAGUGACCACUGUCAACUCAACUAACAAACUGUGAAGUGACACUGGGCAUUAUGAAGAGUUGCAGACGUACAGUGUAAAUGGACACAAACAGACAAACAAUCGUGUUCAGAUUGAGAUAGGCCUACAUAAUUAUGUAGGUAAGGUAUUGCCCAAUUACUUGUACAAUUGGAGCUGUCUCAAUUUUACUAGCAAGCUUGGUGUACAAAAUUUAAUGUGAACAUUGGCUUAUGGAUGAUUCUGCCUAAUAUAUGACAUCAAAGGUACAUCAGCUUUAGGACUUUAUUUAUAUGGAUAUAUGUGGUGUGACCAGUAUUGAAGAUAAAUGCCAUCCCCUGCCACCAGAGACAGCAGAUUUAGGCAUCUUUUCCCUUUAGCUACACUCUCCUACUAUUCUGUCAUUGAUUAAAAUUACAGAACUUAA
Pecten maximus is the source of this 864-nucleotide long non-coding RNA. RefSeq lists it as uncharacterized. The record is from RefSeq and is a predicted model, not a curated record. Lineage: Eukaryota; Metazoa; Mollusca; Bivalvia; Pectinida; Pectinidae. The transcript has 3 exons.